This is a small nuclear RNA of Otolemur garnettii (small-eared galago), 107 nucleotides long. NCBI's taxonomy places the organism in Eukaryota, Metazoa, Chordata, Mammalia, Primates, Galagidae. The record is from Ensembl.
GCCCUCAUUGCGGUAACACAUAUACUAAAAUUGGAACUAUACAGAGAAGAUUAGCAAGGCCACUGUGCAAGGAUGACACAAAAAUUCGUUAAGUGAUUCACAUUUUU